This 1439-nucleotide ribosomal RNA is filed under the name metagenome. Its description in RNAcentral is "bacterial SSU rRNA". It matches the Rfam family "Bacterial small subunit ribosomal RNA". The record is from RNAcentral.
AGAGUUUGAUCCUGGCUCAGGAUGAACGCUGGCGGCGUGUCUAAGGCAUGCAAGUCGAAUGGGUUUAGACCCAUGGCAAACGGGAGAGUAACACAUUGGUAACAUACCCUGAGGACGAGAAUAACCUUGCGAAAGCGGGGAUAAUACUCGAUGGUAGUGGGGGGACAAAAGUCAUUCCCACUUAAAGCUCCGACGCCUCAGGAGUGGCCUAUGGUCUAUCAGCUUGUUGGUGAGGUAAAAGCUCACCAAGGCUAUGACGGAUAGCGGGUGUGAGAGCAUGACCCGUCUCACUGGGACUGAGACACUGCCCAGACUCCUACGGGAGGCUGCAGUCAAGAAUCUUCCUCAAUGGCCGAAAGGCUGAAGGAGCGACGCCGCGUGCAUGAUGAAGCCCUUUGGGGUGUAAAAUGCUUUUCUGAAGGACGAAUCUAUGACGGUACUUCAGGAAUAAGGGGCUGCUAAACUCGUGCCAGCAGCAGCGGUAAUACGAGUGCCCCAAGCGUUAUCCGGAUUUAUUGGGCGUAAAGGGUCCGUAGGCGGUUUGUCACAUCUCCUGUUAAAUCUCGAGGCUCAACCUCGAGGCUGCGGGAGAGAUGGAUAAACUAGAGGUCGGAAGAGGCAAGUGGAAUUGCUGGUGUAGGGGUUAAAUCCGUUAAUAUCAGCAGGAACACCAAAUGCGAAGGCAACUUGCUAGAACGAAUCUGACGCUAAGGGACGGAAGCGUGGGUAGCGAAUGGGAUUAGAUACCCCAGUAGUCCACGCCGUAAACGAUGGAUGCUAAGCAUCGGCAGUAUCGACCCUGCCGGUGUUGUUAACUUAAGGUAACCCGUUAAGCAUCCCGCCUGGGGAGUACGAGCGCAAGCUUAAAACUCAAAGGAAUAGACGGGGACCCGCACAAGCGGUGGAGCAUGUGGUUUAAUUCGACGAUAAGCGAAGAACCUCACCAAGGUUUGACAUAUAGCUGCAAGCCCUAGAAAUAGGGUCGCCUUCGAGGGUGCUAUACAGAUGCUGCAUGGUUGCCGUCAGCUCGUGUCGUGAGAUGUACCGUUAAGUCGGGAAACGAGCGCAACCCCUAUCCUAUGUUUUACAUGUCAUGGGAGACUGCCUGCUUUAAGUGGGAGGAAGGUGGGGAUGACGUCAAAUCAGCAUGGUUCUUACACCUUGGGCAACACACGUGCUACAAUGGGGAAUACAAAGGGACGCCAAGCCGCGAGGUGGAGCAAAUCCCUUAAAGUUCUUCUCAGUUCGGAUUGGAGUCUGCAACUCGACUCUAUGAAGUUGGAAUCGCUAGUAAUCGUGGAUCAGAACGUCACGGUGAAUACGUUAUCGGGUCUUGUACUCACCGCCCGUCACGUCAAGGGAGUCGGUAGUGCCCGAAGGCUCACUUUAUUGUGGGACGAAGGUAAGACUGGCGACAGGGACGAAGUCGUAACAAGGCA